UCCACAUUGUCUACUUGUCCCUACUAUUUGUCCAACUUGGGUUUCUCUACCAAGGAUGCACAUUUUUUCAUGAAUCUGGAUUGCUUUUUAACAGCCAAUAAUCUAAUUUUUACUUCAUGAAUUAUUUACAAGUGAUAUUGGUGCUUAUGAGAUUUAUGCAGAAAUUCUCAUGUUGAGUGGUCAUAUUGUUGUUCCCAAUGGAGACAUAAGCGCGUGCUGAUGUUUAAGUCUUUUUGUGCAGGUUUUUGAAGAAUUUGAUCUUGUUCCUAUAGAAAGUGCUUCCCUUGCACAAGUUCAUGUUGCUCGUACGCAUGAUGGCAAAAAGUUGCUGUUAAGAUCAUGCCACUGUGGAGCUGAUUGUGAAUACCCUUCAUAAGUUUUUUCCUUCUUUUGACUAUAGAUGGUUGCUUGAUGAAAUGGCGUGAAAGUUUGCCCAAGGUCAACUACUUGCUUAUUGCAAGUACUGUUGCUAUGUAAUUGAACUUCUGUAGGCUUGUUAGAAAUGAAAUUCCUCUAGGUUUCUAUUUUCAAUUAUUUGAAAUGAACUUCUGUAGACUUGUUGGAAUGAAUUGUGCUACUGACUUUGGGUAUUAGAAGACCACAGGAAAGGAUAGGCGUGUUCACUACAAAAGUUAAGGUGUGGGGAUGAUAAAGACUCUGGCUUUCCACCGAGGUAAAGCUCCAAAAGGUGACCGAACUGAUUGGGUUAUGCAUUUUUGUUUUUGGUUAUGCACACAUGAUAGUGCAAUUUUGGAUUUUCAUGGCUCAUGUUGCUAAAAAAUCCAUGUAUGGACUAUUGACUUUAUA
Molecule: long non-coding RNA, 807 nt
Organism: Pistacia vera
Lineage: Eukaryota; Viridiplantae; Streptophyta; Magnoliopsida; Sapindales; Anacardiaceae
Exons: 3
Source: RefSeq, a predicted model, not a curated record